GAGAGAGACGAUUUUACGGUUGUUUUGUUUGUUUCCUCUUCUAUGAUAAAAAUCCAAAAAAACUAAAUUUGUGUUUUUUGUCUUUGUUUUUGUUUUUGAUUUUCGAGAGAAAAAUGCAGACUUGAAAAGAAACGAAAAGAAAAGACCCAAUUUUUAUUGUGAAGGAAAAGAAGAAAAAAAAAAAACAGAGUUCUGUUACAGUUUUCCCGGAAAACUGAAAACUUUCUCGGGAAAUUUGGUUGAAAGAGAGGGAAAAAAACAAGUGGAUACAAAACAGAGAGAUGAAGGCGUUUAUAUAUAAAUAAGGAGAUGAGAAUUGGAUUGCUUUUUCUUGAAAAUAUUCUUUCUUUUACUUGAUCAAAACCCUCUGUUUUGGGUUUUUUGUUUCUUCAUUCUUUCUUUAAUUUUAGAAAACGAAUUAAAAUAGUAGUAAAUUUCAGUAAAUUAAUAUAAAUAAAAAGAGAUAAGACCAAUUGGAGAAAAGAGAAGGUUCUGUCUGAAUUCAGGAAAAUUAAAAAAAGAAAAGAGUAAAAGUGUGUAUAACAACAAACACCUAAUCAAAGAUUAUCUCAAAGUUUGACGAUUUUCCUCGUCCACCGCAGCUCAUGAUCCUCACGUGGUUCCCUUUUUUGUUUUUUUUUUUAAUGUAUUGUUGUUAAAACUUAUUUCGAUUAGAAGAUUUUUUUUUAAAAA
RNAcentral lists this long non-coding RNA (693 nucleotides) under Capsella rubella. RNAcentral's name for it is "long non-coding RNA (CRUB_LNC002381)". Lineage: Eukaryota; Viridiplantae; Streptophyta; Magnoliopsida; Brassicales; Brassicaceae. The record is from RNAcentral.